Molecule: ribosomal RNA, 464 nt
Filed under: uncultured bacterium
Lineage: Bacteria
Description: partial 16S ribosomal RNA
Rfam family: Bacterial small subunit ribosomal RNA
Source: RNAcentral
GACGAACGCUGGCGGCGUGCUUAACACAUGCAAGUCGAACGGAAAGGCCCCUUCGGGGGUACUCGAGUGGCGAACGGGUGAGUAACACGUGAGUAACCUGCCCUGACUUCGGGAUAACUUCAGGAAACUGGGGCUAAUACCGGAUAGGAAUCCUUGCUGCAUGGUGGGGGUUGGAAAGCUUCGGCGGUUUUGGAUGGACUCGCGGCGUAUCAGCUUGUUGGUGGGGUAGUGGCUUACCAAGGCUUUGACGGGUAGCCGGCCUGAGAGGGCGACCGGCCACAUUGGGACUGAGAUACGGCCCAGACACCUACGGGAGGCAGCAGUGGGGAAUAUUGCACAAUGGGCGGAAGCCUGAUGCAGCAACGCCGCGUGCGGGAUGACGGCCUUCGGGUUGUAAACCGCUUUCAGCAGGGGCGAAGCUUGUGGUGACGGUACCUGCAGAAGAAGCACCGGCUAACUACGUG